GGGGAAUAUUGCACAAUGGGCGCAAGCCUGAUGCAGCGACGCCGCGUGGGGGAUGACGGCCUUCGGGUUGUAAACCUCUUUCGACAGGGACGAAGCUUUUGUGGCGGUACCUGUAUAAGAAGCACCGGCUAACUACGUGCCAGCAGCCGCGGUAAUACGUAGGGUGCGAGCGUUGCCCGGAAUUACUGGGCGUAAAGAGCUCGUAGGUGGUUUGUCGCGUCGUCUGUGAAAUUCCGGGGCUUAACUUCGGGCGUGCAGGCGAUACGGGCAUAACUUGAGUGCUGUAGGGGAGACUGGAAUUCCUGGUGUAGCGGUGGAAUGCGCAGAUAUCAGGAGGAACACCGAUGGCGAAGGCAGGUCUCUGGGCAGUAACUGACGCUGAGGAGCGAAAGCAUGGGGAGCGAAC
This 406-nucleotide ribosomal RNA is filed under the name uncultured bacterium. RNAcentral's name for it is "bacterial SSU rRNA". It matches the Rfam family "Bacterial small subunit ribosomal RNA", at positions 356 to 773 of the family's 1533-position model. The record is from RNAcentral.